UCUCCUCCGCUCCCGGGCGCGGGGCAGGGGCGGGCCCUCAGCGAGGGGCGGGGGAGGAGUGGAGCGGCCCGGCCAUCGGCAGAGCUCUCUAUUGGACGAGCCAUACUGAGGGAUCCCUCUGGGAACCAACCAAAGGCGUCAAUCUGGAGCCGAAGAGGCGGUAUCGCCAAGCGGACCAGUUUUGGAGGUCAAAGCUCCGCAGGGCGCGGUUAGUGGCGGAGUGAGCUCGGAGGGGAGGGUCUUCCACUUGUCGCCAGCGUGAACUCUGGUGCCUCGGGAGUGUCCGGAAUGAACCCCCAACUCCGGACCCUCAAAUCUGCCCCCACCCAGGCGCGCUCAUCUGUGGUUCGACUUUUUCAUGUAUCACCUUCUCUUCCUUUUCUCCCCCCGGGGUCCUUUUGGUCCCUCCCCGUCUCUUCGCGCUCAGAAAGCCGAAUUUCGCUGAUGCUCAGUCAGAGGAGAAAAUUUUAUGCGGAAUUCAGUCCUUCCUUCUGAAAGGCAACAGUCGUUGGACGGGAGGGACUAAAAAUCACUUGGUGUCCUGACAAGAUUUGUUACUGUUGCUAAGAUCGUCAACUCUAAUGCUUUAAGAGCGAUAACUUCCUGCAAACCCUGAAUUUUCGGAUUACUUCUAAACUGGAAGAGGGAAAAUACAGACGUCCAUUAACUUCAAUUCCUGGUGUCAGAAUUCAACCUUGAGACUUAUGGAUGGGAGCCAUGCUCCAGUUGUGGAGUGGGAAGAAACCAGUUUCCCUUUCCUAGCCUCAUGUCUCUUUGCUUGGUGUUUUAUUUUAUCUUAGUAGGCAAUAACGAGAAGGCUGCCUAGGGCUGACUUAAGGAUAAAUAUUAACAUUAGUAGAAAUAUUAAAAUGGUGAAACCAUGAUUUUGCAGACGGUGCUCCCUACUCUUAAUUAAAAGAGUUUAAACCCCAUUCACACUUAUGACUUCAAGGCUGAGCCAGUAGGAAGGUGGAUACUAACUCUAAUUUCCUAGGAAUGAGGAAUGAAAAACCGAGACAAGUAGGCACUGUAAAAUUGUUUUUGCUUUUUUAAUGCAGGUCAAAUAUCCUGAAACAUACAUGUAUUUUGAUAUCAGUCUGCUAAUCUCACUUGAGUUCAAAUAUUAAAGUAACACACACGAGCUAAGAGAAUUCAAUAUUGUUCAAAGGCACUUACUGAAUCUCCAUGACUAGAUGAAAACAAGGACAAUUAGGAGGACAAUUAGACAGUAUAUAAUAUAAAAAUAACUUUUUGCUUACAAUUUACAAAAUGUAUUAUUAUUACAAUCUUUGAUCUCUGAUAACCUGCAAAGCUGGCUGCAUGAAUCCAGCAACUUUAAAAUUCAGAAACUAUUUUCUAAAACUUCAGGGCAAAUAAUUUACAAAUAAGGUACACAAAGAUUUAGACCAUGCAGAAUUUCUUACAUCUUCUGUUAAUAAUAUUUUAUGACUGCAACUUUAUCAAAUUAUAUACCUACUUGCCCUGUACAUAUACAAAAUAAUGCAUACAUGAUAAAACAUUAGCAAAAGAGUAGUCCUUAAACUCAAUUUAUCAUAAAAGUAUUACUAUAUUAACAUGUCUACAAGCAGCGUGUAACAGGGUUAAGAGACAUUAAGGCAAUAAUACUUGAAGUUACAAAAUAAACCAUAUGUAAUACUUUUUCCUAAGUGUAGUAUAAGGCAGGUAGAUGGUCCCAGCAAAAAAAAUACUAAGGUAACAAUCUACACUGCUGUUAGUCCCACAUUUUUAAGAUGGAAUACUAUAAAUCUGGCUUUCAGUGGCACUUGAAUUUUCCAGUAUAAUUUAAAGUGUCUUUUAGCUCCCUGAAUCAUGUCCAUUCUGAAGGUGGUUCUCUUGGUCCUUUGGGUUUUCCACAGCGAUUACGAAAACCUGUAAUCAAAACACCAGAGUAACUGGUCAGUGUCUGGAAAUGUAUUUUCAUUUACUAAAAACUCUUAAUUUGCUUUGGGUAGUUCACUUAAGAACCUGAAUAAAUCAUGGCAAAAAGUUUGAUAAGCUUGGCCUUCAGGAAAGUGUGACAUGAUGGCAAAUAACCUUUUCUCAUCUUUGCCAGCAUUAACUAUAGAACUAAAGUUUUAAACUUAUUUAGUAAACAAAUUACCAAUAUCUGUGGCCUCUGUUGGACUUUCUGAAAUUUGACCUUUCUUGUUACUGAAAAUAGGUGGACAUUCUGUACAAGUCUCUGUGUGAAUACCUCCUGCUGGAUGAUCUAAAAUGCAAAAUAAAGCCAUUGUUAAUCACCA
Molecule: long non-coding RNA, 2264 nt
Organism: Lutra lutra (Eurasian river otter)
Lineage: Eukaryota; Metazoa; Chordata; Mammalia; Carnivora; Mustelidae
Exons: 2
Source: RefSeq, a predicted model, not a curated record